Molecule: long non-coding RNA, 636 nt
Organism: Dreissena polymorpha
Lineage: Eukaryota; Metazoa; Mollusca; Bivalvia; Myida; Dreissenidae
Exons: 3
Source: RefSeq, a predicted model, not a curated record
AUAUGCUAUGUUCAGAAACAGUGAAGUACCAUGGCUGAACCAGAUCCUGUAACAGAAAAGAAAGUACAACAGUACACGACUGUGAUUGUCAUAAGCUGUAUGCCAAGGAUGUCCCUGGCGCUGUUUUACCGCAACUUCAACCAGAAAGAUGCAAAGUUACAGAGUUGCGAAUAUGGUUGAAAUGCCGGGGACAAGCUGUGAAAUCGAAUGAGACAAAAGCCGAACUUUGCUUGAGGGUAAAGAAAUUCAGUGACAACCAGGAUAACAUCCUAAUUGUGGAUCCUUAUCCAGACCAGCCAUUUGCAGCUAAGCAGAAGUCGUCCUGUAUGAACUGUCAAGGACAAUCAACAGUGUCAACAGCGGAAGAACAUCUUAAUUUGGAAGAAUGCACAUGGACCCAAAGCACCAGACCGAUCUUCAAAGACUUUUCGUACAUGAACAUUCUGGAAUGGACCAAAAGUUCUGGUAAAGGUUCAUAACUGGGUGUUGAAAAGCCUAUUCAACGAGGCUAUGUGUUUUUUCAUGACGGUUAUGUAUUCGACACAUGGACAUCUGAACGUAACAGUUCAACAAUUGUUAGAUGCAAGUGUUUCCGCUCCAUGAAAAACCGGUAAUCAGAAAUAAAGAGUAUUGAAA